GACGAACGCUAGCGGCAGGCCUAACACAUGCAAGUCGAGGGGUAGACAUCUUCGGAUGUUGAGACCGGCGCACGGGUGCGUAACGCGUAUGCAAUCUACCUUUUGCAGGGGAAUAGCCCAAAGAAAUUUGGAUUAAUGCCCCAUAGUAUAAUGAUAAGGCAUCUUAUUAUUAUUAAAGUCACAACGGCAAAAGAUGAGCAUGCGUCCCAUUAGCUAGUUGGUAAGGUAACGGCUUACCAAGGCAAUGAUGGGUAGGGGUCCUGAGAGGGAGAUCCCCCACACUGAUACUGAGACACGGACCAGACUCCUACGGGAGGCAGCAGUGAGGAAUAUUGGACAAUGGGCGCAAGCCUGAUCCAGCCAUGCCGCGUGCAGGAAGACGGUCCUAUGGAUUGUAAACUGCUUUUAUACAGGAAGAAACACUCCCUCGUGAGGGAACUUGACGGUACUGUAAGAUAAGGAUCGGCUAAC
This 471-nucleotide ribosomal RNA is filed under the name uncultured bacterium. RNAcentral describes it as "bacterial SSU rRNA". It matches the Rfam family "Bacterial small subunit ribosomal RNA", at positions 28 to 501 of the family's 1533-position model. The record is from RNAcentral.